GGAGAGGGGUAGGAUGAGAAGAGACAGGGAUGACCCUCACUGGGGAAAAGGUCUACUGUCACAAGUAUGUGGUGGUGAAGUUGUUCUCUGCCCAGCUGACAGAGACAGGAGAUACAGAGACAGGAGUCCAUUCUAUUACAAGUAGGUCACCUUGGCUCUCCUCUAUGCACAGCACUCCAGGGACUUCCUGCAGAAAGAUCAUGUUUGACCAGGUGGAGUCAGGCUUCUACUUCAUCGCCCUGGACCACUACACGAACGAGCCAGAAGACGUUAAGUUUGGACCACCAUUACAAUGAGCCUGUCCUCCUAUAGCUCCUCCCACCAGCCUCCACGGUUCUUUUAAUUAUGGUGAUGCCCCAACUGUAAGAACCUGGAGAUCUCUACUGGUUUUGAGGGAGGUGACAUGGCCACAAACAGUGCCUGGGACACCUUCCAGCGCUACCGCUGUCUGGAAAACGGCCAGAGGGUGGUCUGCUGCAACAGUGUGUCAGCUCGGCUGCACCUGGGAACUAAAGAUUGUCCAGUCUGCUGAGAGGGUCAUUGGCUGCCACCUGCCCUCCAUUAAGGUUCCUGCACGACUCCAGGGUAAGGAAGCGUGCAGGAAAGAUCAUCGCCAACCCCUUCCACCCUUUCUUCCAAAGACUCCCAUCUGGCAAACGGUUCAAGUCAAUCACGAUCGAAACUUCCCGCCACCUGAACCGUUUCUUCCCCCGUGCUAUGGCCCUCACCAACCGGCCACCUGGUCCACAAUGAUCCUCUCAUCCAUGGACUCUGCGUUAUUCAUCCAGACUAUGCACCGUGCGCUAUCAUCUUACAUUCAUCAUUUAUAAUGUAGCUUAUAGUGUUCAUACUGAAUGUGGAUCUAUGGAAAUUCUGCAUAUAUAUUUUUGGGCUGUUUAUUAUGGCAGCACCAUUUCACAGAGUCAAAUUCCUGUACAUGCACAUUUCUGGCGAAU
RNAcentral lists this long non-coding RNA (956 nucleotides) under Salmo salar (Atlantic salmon). RNAcentral's name for it is "lncRNA (ENSSSAG00000113669.1)". Lineage: Eukaryota; Metazoa; Chordata; Actinopteri; Salmoniformes; Salmonidae. The record is from RNAcentral.